UGGGGAAUCUUGCGCAAUGGGCGAAAGCCUGACGCAGCGACGCCGCGUGAGCGAUGAAGGCCUUCGGGUUGUAAAGCUCUGUGGGGAGGAAAGAAUAAGGUUUGGCUAAUAUCCAAGCUGAUGACGGUACCUCCUUAGCAAGCACCGGCUAACUCUGUGCCAGCAGCCGCGGUAAGACAGAGGGUGCAAACGUUGUUCGGAAUUACUGGGCGUAAAGCGCGUGUAGGCGGCCCUGCAAGUCGGAUGUGAAAUCCCAUGGCUCAACUAUGGAAGUGCAUUCGAAACUGCAGGGCUAGAGUCCUGGAGAGGAAGGUGGAAUGCUUGGUGUAGAGGUGAAAUUCGUAGAUAUCAAGCGGAACACCGGUGGCGAAGGCGGCCUUCUGGACAGUGACUGACGCUGAGACGCGAAAGCGUGGGGAGCAAACAGGAUUAGAUACCCCCGUAGUCC
RNAcentral lists this ribosomal RNA (448 nucleotides) under uncultured bacterium. Its description in RNAcentral is "bacterial SSU rRNA". It matches the Rfam family "Bacterial small subunit ribosomal RNA", at positions 355 to 796 of the family's 1533-position model. The record is from RNAcentral.